RNAcentral lists this ribosomal RNA (399 nucleotides) under uncultured soil bacterium. Its description in RNAcentral is "bacterial SSU rRNA". It matches the Rfam family "Bacterial small subunit ribosomal RNA", at positions 975 to 1375 of the family's 1533-position model. The record is from RNAcentral.
CAGGUCUUGACAUCCUCUGACAACCCUAGAGAUAGGGCUUUCCCUUCGGGGACAGAGUGACAGGUGGUGCAUGGUUGUCGUCAGCUCGUGUCGUGAGAUGUUGGGUUAAGUCCCGCAACGAGCGCAACCCUUGAUCUUAGUUGCCAGCAUUUAGUUGGGCACUCUAAGGUGACUGCCGGUGACAAACCGGAGGAAGGUGGGGAUGACGUCAAAUCAUCAUGCCCCUUAUGACCUGGGCUACACACGUGCUACAAUGGAUAGUACAAAGGGUUGCAAGACCGCGAGGUGGAGCUAAUCCCAUAAAACUAUUCUCAGUUCGGAUUGUAGGCUGCAACUCGCCUACAUGAAGCCGGAAUCACUAGUAAUCGCGGAUCAGCAUGCCGCGGUGAAUACGUUCCC